GACGAACGCUGGCGGCGUGCUUAACACAUGCAAGUCGAACGGACAGGCCCUGCUUUUGUUGGUUGCUCGAGUGGCGAACGGGUGAGUAACACGUGAGUAACCUGCCCUUGACUUUGGGAUAACUUCACGAAACUGGGGCUAUUACCGGAUAUGAGCUCCUGCUGCACGUUGGUGGUUGGAAAGUUUCGGCGGUUGGGGAUGGACUCGCGGCUUAUCAGCUUGUUGGUGGGGUAGUGGCUUACCAAGGCUUUGAGGGGUAGCCGGCCUGAGAGGGUGACCGGCCACAUUGGGACUGAGAGAAGGCCCAGACUCAUACGGGAGGCAGAAGUGGGGAAUAUUGAAGAAUGGGCGGAAGCCGGAUGCAGCAACGCCGCGGGCGGGAUGACGGCCUUAGGGUUGUAAACCGCUUGCGCCUGUGACGAAGCGUGAGUGAAGGUAAUGGGUAAAGAAGCACCGGCUAACUACGUG
Molecule: ribosomal RNA, 468 nt
Filed under: uncultured bacterium
Lineage: Bacteria
Description: partial 16S ribosomal RNA
Rfam family: Bacterial small subunit ribosomal RNA
Source: RNAcentral